This 450-nucleotide ribosomal RNA is filed under the name Triticum aestivum (bread wheat). RNAcentral's name for it is "partial small subunit ribosomal RNA". Lineage: Eukaryota; Viridiplantae; Streptophyta; Magnoliopsida; Poales; Poaceae. The record is from RNAcentral.
AUGCAGGCCCGAGGACACCCGCCUGAAAGUAACGCUCAUGGCUCUCGAGAUGAAGGCAAACCACAAAAUGAUCGACGCAUGCUUCGACGAGAACAUGUCAUCCAUUGUGUGCCUCACAGCCUUGAUGUCAUGCAUAUCACGAAGAACGUGUGCGAGAGUCUGCUUGGUACCCUGCUCAACAUGCCAGAGAGGACCAAAGAUGGGUCGAAAGAAAGGGCAGACUUGGAGUCAAUGGGCAUCAGGGAGGAGCUUCACGCUAAUGAUGAUGAUGAGGCGAAGAAGGACACAGAAAGUCGUCGCAAAGGCAAAAAGGCCAAGAAGACCGGAAAUGACUACCCUCCCACGUGCUUCACUCUAUGUCAGGAGGAGAUCGAGCAGUUUUUCACCUGCCUCGUAGGAGUAAAACUUCCUUACGGUUACACAGGGAAGAUAAGUAGAUACCUAGACUAA